GGUUUCAGUGUUCCACUUCGUGUGGAAAAUGGUCCAUGUCCUUUUUGGGCAAUAAUAAAAUAAUUCUAAAAUUUUAACUAAGGCCUGGUAACUGGGCUUAUUCAGCUGUGCACAGCUUUUUAGUGAUGCCUGAGCAAUACCAGCUCAACGGUGCGAUGCGCGAGUAAUUUUCGUCAAGUGUUGAGCAUCAAUCGCAACGAAGAAAUAUUAUGAUGCUUCUACCCAGCGUUUUUUUGGUAACAGCUGUGUUAUGUCCUUUUUUUGUGACAAAAUUCUAAUAUAUAUAUUUCGCUCAUUUUUUCGAAUGUGGGAAGAAAAGUGGCAAUUUCCUCAGAAAAUUAUUGCCUAGUAACUGAUGAAAAAGGGGAACCCAUUAUUGAAAGUCAUAAGCUUUUAUUGCAGAUUAUCACAGAAGAAAACUACAUAUGUGUAGAUGCUCCUCCCCAAAUAUUUUGCUGAAUUUGGUAUUAAAAGAAAAGAAGAGAUGAAAUCACAAAUAUAUAAAUAUGUUAUGCAAAAUUUUUCAGAAGAUAAAAUUGCUCUACUGAAGAACCACAAAAUACCUAAAUUGACACCCGUAAUGGCAAAGUGAUUAAUGGAGACAAAAAAGAAAAGCUUGUUCAAACAAAAUCUUUUGAAGAAUGCGAAAAAUAUAGUUGCACCUUGGAGAGGGCAAGCUGGAGGAAUUGAAAAAACUCCAUGCAUAUUUACAAGAGAAAAACUAGAACUUCUAAGGAAUCUAAGGAAACAGAGCCAAAUCCAUAAUGAACAAAGUAGGUAAAAUGCAUCCUUGUUUACUUUCUUAUAUAUUUAAAAAAAUAUUUGUUUUUUUUUGUCAUAUAGAUAUUUUUCUUAAUUGUAGUUAAAUUUUUUACUUUUGUAAAUUAUUAAAAUACAUUGUUGAAAUAA
This is a long non-coding RNA of Cylas formicarius (sweet potato weevil), 909 nucleotides long. RefSeq lists it as uncharacterized. The transcript is spliced from 2 exons. NCBI's taxonomy places the organism in Eukaryota, Metazoa, Arthropoda, Insecta, Coleoptera, Brentidae. The record is from RefSeq and is a predicted model, not a curated record.